This 346-nucleotide non-coding RNA is filed under the name Glycine max (soybean). RNAcentral describes it as "Bacterial large subunit ribosomal RNA". It matches the Rfam family "Bacterial large subunit ribosomal RNA", at positions 2652 to 2912 of the family's 2925-position model. Lineage: Eukaryota; Viridiplantae; Streptophyta; Magnoliopsida; Fabales; Fabaceae. The record is from Rfam by way of RNAcentral.
CAUUAGAGCAUUAAGAGGACAUUUUCCUAGUACGAGAAAAUUGGGAAGGACUCACCUUCGGUGUGCCAGUUAUCGUGUCCACGAUAAACGUUGGGUUGCCAAGUGUGGAGUAAAUAAUUGCUAAAAGCAUCUAAGUAAUAACCUAAGAUGAGUGUUCUCCUAUAUUGACUUCCCCAAAGCCUUCGGUAGCACAGUUGAGAUAGUGAUGGGUUCUCUGCCUCAACAGGAAUGGAAAAAAUGUGAGAAUUCAAGAGAAGGUCACAAUGAGAUGAGUUGUUUCUAAUUAAUGAUAGGUGUCAAAUAGAAAUGCAAUGAUGUAUGUUGCUGAGACAUCCUAACAAACCGG